Molecule: long non-coding RNA, 207 nt
Filed under: Elaeis guineensis (African oil palm)
Lineage: Eukaryota; Viridiplantae; Streptophyta; Magnoliopsida; Arecales; Arecaceae
Description: long non-coding RNA (EGUI_LNC063785)
Source: RNAcentral
AGAUGGUGUUCCAUGACUUCCGCAUCUAUCCCCGGCAUGUCUGUCGGAACCUAAGCGAAAACAUCCACAUUCUUUUGCAGAAAAGUGAUGAGCUGUGUCCGUACCUCCUCUCUUAGGUUGGAGCCGAUCUUCACCACGUGCUCUUCAUUCCCAUCAUUCAAAGAAAUUGAGACAAGAUCUUCAGUUGGCUCACCCCAUUCUUCAGCA